AGUUGGAUCAUUUUUCCGAAAUGAAAACAAACCAAAACCCGAGGGAAUGGUGUGUGUGCCUUUGUUCGCAAAGCGCGCGCGCCGCUCUUCUCACACACAAAACCAACUCGUGCGCCCCCCUCAAAAAAGGGCGCGCGGGUUUGCCGCUCCACAUUUCAACCGAUAUGGAACACGGCUCUCACAACGUGUCGCGAUGGAUGACUUGGCUUCCUAUUUCGUUGAAGAACGCAGCAAAGUGCGAUAACUGGUAUCAAUUGCAGAAUCACUCAAUUACCGAAUCUUUGAACGCAAAAGGCGCCCGGGAGAAACCUUUCACAGGCGAUCCCCGUGCAUGCCGUAUCGCUCAGUGUCGAACAAAAACUAUUCGCCCACACGUUGAAGGAGUUCGCUCUUUUUGCGUGCGGCGUGAAUUGAAAAGAAAUGCAAGAGAGUCCUUCCAUACUAAUCUUUUGGGUGUGCCAUUCAUUUGGUGAUCCAGGGAGGCGCUGGUGCCGUGCGAUCAAAACACGGGGGACGGGUGGAGCUGCGCUCUUCAAACAGCGUGCUCCUCUGCUCUCCGUGUCGUUGCGGUAUUCCAUGACUGUGAAGAAACACAACACAAUCAAUGUGCGGCGUUUUUUUCGCGAUUCAUCUCAACCAACAAUCUUCAUUUCACAUACAGACCUGAGUGCGGCAGGACCACCCGCCGAACUUAAGCAUAUUACUCAGCGGAGGAAAAGAAAACAACCGUGAUUCCCUCAGUGAGCGGCGAGCGAAGAGGGACCGAACUCGUUGCCGAAUCGGGCUUUACAGAGCCUUGAGUUGUGGCAAUAAUGCGGCAUUUUGAUUGGUGCGGGAUUGGCGAAAUUCAACGCGCAAAGCAAACCCAUUGCUGAACACAACCCUUCAUGUGAGUAUUGAGCCAUAGAAGGUGUUAGCCCAUUGAGCCAAAAACCCGAGCAUCUCACUUAUGCCGAGCAAAGAGAGUAGCACUGCUUGGGAGUGCAGUGUCAAGCGGCAGGUAUGUGUCUGCCAAAGUUAAAUACAGAGUAGGAAGACCGAUAUCGAACAAGUAGCGUGAGCGAAAGUUUGAAAAGCACUUUGGAAAGAGAGUGACAUAGAACCUGAAGUCGUGACAAUGACAAUGAAAGUGCCUCCAUUUCAUUGGUCAAAACCACUCCUGAAGCAUUUCUCCGGGGCGACCUUAAAACCGCUUCGGUAAACUCAAGUGCAGACACGGGAGAUUGGUGAAAUGAGCUGGAAUAAAGGUGUGAGCACUGUCUCGUUAGGGUCAAACCUGGCGGGGCAGCGAGCCGCAUCUUUCCAGUGAUGCUCAAUGUUGACAUCGAAAAUGGGGUAUCUUCACCCGUCUUGAAACACGGACCAAGGAGUCAAACAGACGCGCAAGGGAGAAGAUAUUCGUUUGCAGUACUUCUCUCGUACUGAAAGGGAGCGUUCUUAGAACGCGUAUGGUGUGCACACAACACGAAUGCCCAACACCGUCCGGCCCGCGCGCGGGUUGAGAUUGAGUGUGCCUGUUUGGACCCGAAAGGUGGUGAACUAUGCCUGAACAUGGUGAAGCCCGGGGAAACCCAGGUGGAAGCCAGUAGCGGUGCUGACGUGCAAAUCGCUCGUAUGAUUUGGGUAUCGGAGCGAAAGACUCAUCGAACCACCUAGUAGCUGGUUCACAU
RNAcentral lists this unclassified non-coding RNA (1670 nucleotides) under uncultured fungus. Its description in RNAcentral is "sequence contains 18S rRNA gene, ITS1, 5.8S rRNA gene, ITS2, 28S rRNA gene". The stretch from base 659 to 1670 matches the Rfam family "Eukaryotic large subunit ribosomal RNA", at positions 1 to 961 of the family's 3401-position model. Lineage: Eukaryota; Fungi. The record is from RNAcentral.